Molecule: ribosomal RNA, 253 nt
Filed under: uncultured bacterium
Lineage: Bacteria
Description: partial 16S ribosomal RNA
Rfam family: Bacterial small subunit ribosomal RNA
Source: RNAcentral
UACGUAGGGUGCAAGCGUUGUCCGGAAUUAGUGGGCGUAAAGAGCUCGUAGGCGGUCUGUCGCGUCUGCUGUGAAAAUCCAGGGCUCAACCCUGGACCUGCAGUGGGUACGGGCAGACUAGAGUGCGGUAGGGGAGAUCGGAAUUCCUGGUGUAGCGGUGAAAUGCGCAGAUAUCAGGAGGAACACCGGUGGCGAAGGCGGAUCUCUGGGCCGUAACUGACGCUGAGGAGCGAAAGCAUGGGGAGCGAACAGG